ACGAGUUUGGAGAUACUCAUCCAGAGCAGCGAGAGUGGGCUGUUUACUCAACCAGAUGGCAGUGAGGAGCUCAGCCUUACCGAAAAUACCCUGAUGGGGCCUGUGUUUCUGUCCCCUCGAAGGUUUUCCUGUCCAGAGUUUGCUGUGUGCGUGUGCAGUUUAGAUUCCAGCUCCUGACUCCCUCCCAGCCAUGGCCGCCUCACCCGUAGCCUCAGCAGAAAAUUCAAGAGGCCUUGGAAGCCUACACUCCAGCCCCACUGGCAGAGGGAGCUUCCCUCCAACACUCCCACAUCUCUGGGAGACCUGUGAUGACACCUCCUGGUCAGGAAGCACUGAAACAAGCUUCUGGCCGACAGUGGAUUUGCACGUGUGCAGGAUACCUCAGGAUUCUCGGAGGGAGUCAGGCGUCCUUGCUGAGAGGUGAUCACCAGAGCCUGGGUGCAGCAAAGGGACAGCAGAGCCACCCUCACCCCACACAUCAGGACCCAGGCAGCUGCCGCUUUUCACCAUGCCCUGAGCUGGCCUUGGCCCACCCACUCAGCACCUUUGCCUCGUUUCCUUGCCAGUUCCACUCCAGCAGACUUUCCCAUCCUGGCAGGUGAGCCGUCAAGGACUACAGGUCUCCUUUCACCUGGACCCUGUGCUGCUGCUGGGAUGGUGGGGUGGUGCAAGCUUUGGGUCCUGUCCUCUCUAGACACACAGGGCUUUCUGGGACCUUCAGCUUCCCAGCCAGCCCUCCAUGUGUCUGAGCUGAUCCUGGACAAGCAACUGCAGGAGCAGGAUUUAUCCUGACUCCCUAAGCCCGCACGUGGGCACAGAUCCUUCUCCAUCUCUACGGGUUCCCCCACUCCUGGGCUCCUGUCACUUCAUCUGGCUUCCUACCUGUAUCCUCAUCCAGGACUGAUGGGUCUCCCUUCAGAAGUACCCACAGCAGGGUCCUACUUCUCCCUGGCUGGGCCAAGGGAACCCAUACUGCCACCAGUCUCAGAGUCUGUCGCCACCCUCCCCCGCUAGUCAGGGAGCAGCCCCUCUGCCACCACCUGUGACACAGGAGAUGCCCGGACACAAGCAGAAACUGCAACGUGUCUCACAGGUCCUUAGGAAUCUUCCUUGGUCCUUCUUGUUUCUCCUGCCACCUCACCCGAGGCCCUCACAAGAAUGCCAGUCCUCCCUGCCCCGAUGGCCUAAGAACCGCUGGGUUCUGGGUGGUGCACAACGGACCCUUUUAAAUUUGCACAACACCAAGUGUAGGAACAGCUUCUGACACAUCUGUAGGCGGAGAUUAUCCACUUGGCUCUCAAGCUGUUAGUCCAGCUGUGGCUUCUGUUUUUACAGGGUUUCAUUUCCAUUGGUUUUGCUCCUUUUUAAUAAAGAUUUUUUCAUCUCUUUCUCUCACUCCCAACCAAAAUAACACUGUAGCCAAACUGAGAUACCUAUUUUCUGCUUCAGAAGAAAAAUAAAUAAAUCUGCA
Artibeus jamaicensis (Jamaican fruit-eating bat) is the source of this 1471-nucleotide long non-coding RNA. RefSeq lists it as uncharacterized. Lineage: Eukaryota; Metazoa; Chordata; Mammalia; Chiroptera; Phyllostomidae. The transcript is spliced from 4 exons. The record is from RefSeq and is a predicted model, not a curated record.